AACGAACGCUGGCGGCAUGCCUAACACAUGCAAGUCGAACGAGACCUUCGGGUCUAGUGGCGCACGGGUGCGUAACGCGUGGGAAUCUGCCCUUGGGUUCGGAAUAACAGCGAGAAAUUGCUGCUAAUACCGGAUGAUGACGUAAGUCCAAAGAUUUAUCGCCCAAGGAUGAGCCCGCGUAGGAUUAGCUAGUUGGUGAGGUAAAGGCUCACCAAGGCGACGAUCAGUAGCUGGUUUGAGAGAACGACCAGCCACACUGGAACUGAGACACGGUCCAGACUCCUACGGGAGGCAGCAGUGGGGAAUAUUGGACAAUGGGCGAAAGCCUGAUCCAGCAAUGCCGCGUGAGUGAUGAAGGCCUA
This 362-nucleotide ribosomal RNA is filed under the name uncultured bacterium. RNAcentral's name for it is "bacterial SSU rRNA". It matches the Rfam family "Bacterial small subunit ribosomal RNA", at positions 29 to 418 of the family's 1533-position model. The record is from RNAcentral.